This 300-nucleotide ribosomal RNA is filed under the name Colletotrichum siamense. RNAcentral describes it as "partial 18S ribosomal RNA". The stretch from base 203 to 300 matches the Rfam family "5.8S ribosomal RNA", at positions 1 to 98 of the family's 154-position model. The record is from RNAcentral. Lineage: Eukaryota; Fungi; Ascomycota; Sordariomycetes; Glomerellales; Glomerellaceae.
UCCGUAGGUGAACCUGCGGAGGGAUCAUUACUGAGUUUACGCUCUACAACCCUUUGUGAACAUACCUAUAACUGUUGCUUCGGCGGGUAGGGUCUCCGCGACCCUCCCGGCCUCCCGCCUCCGGGCGGGUCGGCGCCCGCCGGAGGAUAACCAAACUCUGAUUUAACGACGUUUCUUCUGAGUGGUACAAGCAAAUAAUCAAAACUUUUAACAACGGAUCUCUUGGUUCUGGCAUCGAUGAAGAACGCAGCGAAAUGCGAUAAGUAAUGUGAAUUGCAGAAUUCAGUGAAUCAUCGAAUC